RNAcentral lists this ribosomal RNA (253 nucleotides) under uncultured bacterium. RNAcentral describes it as "partial 16S ribosomal RNA". It matches the Rfam family "Bacterial small subunit ribosomal RNA", at positions 524 to 776 of the family's 1533-position model. The record is from RNAcentral.
UACAGAGACUGCAAGCGUUAUUCGGAUUCACUGGGCGUAAAGGGUGCGCAGGCGGCCGUGUGUGUGAGGCGUGAAAGCCCGGGGCUUAACCCCGGAAUUGCACCUCAAACUACACGGCUAGAGCAUUGGAGAGGGUAGCAGAAUUCACGGUGUAGCAGUGAAAUGCGUAGAUAUCGUGAGGAAUACCAGAGGCGAAGGCGGCUACCUGGACAGUUACUGACGCUCAGGCACGAAAGCGUGGGGAGCAAAAGGG